CAUCAUCAAUUCAUAGUCCGUUGGUAUUUAUAUAUCUGCCCUUCUGGAUAAUGAUUUUAAUUAGGGUUUUCUGUGUUUGCACCUUUUGUACAUGAAACGCAUUUAGGUUUUUAUAUGAAUUUUAUUGCUUGCUUCUUUGUUCUUCUCGAUUCAAUUCAUCUAAAUUGUUUUGAUUUUUAGACAAUUUUUCUGUAAUAAUCAUACUAUAUGGGCCUUUUUCUGCAGCAGGCUGAAAAAUUAAAACUAAAAUUAAAAUCAUUUAAAGGGGACUUUUUAUUAAUUAUCUUUGUUAGAUGAGAAAGCAUUGGACUUUACAUGGCCAAGUUGGUCCUUCUGGUCGUUUUGAAUGGUGACUUAAUUUUUGAGAAGUAAAAUGUUGGGGAGUUCGUUAAAUUGGGACUUGCUAGUUGGCUAGGGUUGAAUCAUAUUUGGUAUUGAAGUAGUUGGAGUCUUGUGUUUCUUUCAGGGAAGAUUAAUGUAAAGGAUGG
RNAcentral lists this unclassified non-coding RNA (488 nucleotides) under Hevea brasiliensis (rubber tree). Lineage: Eukaryota; Viridiplantae; Streptophyta; Magnoliopsida; Malpighiales; Euphorbiaceae. The record is from RNAcentral.